RNAcentral lists this ribosomal RNA (253 nucleotides) under uncultured bacterium. RNAcentral's name for it is "partial 16S ribosomal RNA". It matches the Rfam family "Bacterial small subunit ribosomal RNA", at positions 524 to 776 of the family's 1533-position model. The record is from RNAcentral.
UACGUAGGGACCAAGCGUUGUCCGGAAUCAUUGGGCGUAAAGAGCGUGUAGGCGGCUUGUUAAGUCUUGCGUGAAAUCUCGGAGCUCAACCCCGAGCGGUCGUGAGAAACUGGCAGGCUAGAGUGCGGGAGAGGAGAGUGGAAUUCCUGGUGUAGCGGUGAAAUGCGCAGAUAUCAGGAAGAACACCAGUGGCGAAGGCGGCUCUCUGGAACGCAACUGACGCUGAGACGCGAAAGCGUGGGGAGCAAACAGG